CCUACGGGAGGCUGCAGUAGGGAAUAUUGCUCAAUGGGGGAAACCCUGAAGCAGCAACGCCGCGUGGGGGAUGACGGUUUUCGGAUUGUAAACUCCUUUUGUUAGAGAAGAUAAUGACGGUAUCUAACGAAUUAGUACCGGCUAACUCCGUGCCAGCAGCCGCGGUAAUACGGAGGGUGCAAGCGUUACUCGGAAUCACUGGGCGUAAAGAGCGCGUAGGCGGGAUAGCAAGUCAGAUGUGAAAUCCUAUGGCUUAACCAUAGAACUGCAUUUGAAACUGUUAUUCUAGAGUAUGGGAGGGGUAGGUGGAAUUCUUGGUGUAGGAGUAAAAUGCGUAGAGAUCAAGAGGAAUACUCGUGGCGAAGGCGACCUGCUAGAACAUAACUGACGCUGAUGCGCGAAGGCGUGGGGAGCAAAAGGGAUUAGAUACCCGUGUAGUC
RNAcentral lists this ribosomal RNA (440 nucleotides) under uncultured bacterium. RNAcentral describes it as "partial 16S ribosomal RNA". It matches the Rfam family "Bacterial small subunit ribosomal RNA", at positions 338 to 795 of the family's 1533-position model. The record is from RNAcentral.